AGGACGAACGCUGGCGGCGUGCUUAACACAUGCAAGUGGAGCGACGAACCAGGGCUUGCCCUGGGGCAGAGCCGCGAACGGGUGAGUAACACGUGGGUUACCUGCCUCGAUGACCGGGACAACCCGAGGAAACUCGGGCUAAUACCGGAUGUGCCCGCAAGGGGAAAGGAAGCUUCGGCCUCCGCAUCGAGAUGGGCCCGCGGCCCAUUAGCUUGUUGGUGAGGUAACGGCUCACCAAGGCUUCGAUGGGUAGCUGGUCUGAGAGGACGAUCAGCCACACUGGGACUGAGACACGGCCCAGACUCCUACGGGAGGCAGCAGUGGGGAAUCUUGCGCAAUGCGCGAAAGCGUGACGCAGCAACGCCGCGUGGGGGAAGAAGGCUUUCGGGGUGUAAACCACUGUCAGGGGUAAGAAAGUUCUGAUCUGCCCAGAGGAAGGCACGGCUAACUCUGUGCCAGCAGCCGC
Molecule: ribosomal RNA, 466 nt
Filed under: uncultured bacterium
Lineage: Bacteria
Description: SSU rRNA
Rfam family: Bacterial small subunit ribosomal RNA
Source: RNAcentral